Molecule: ribosomal RNA, 253 nt
Filed under: uncultured bacterium
Lineage: Bacteria
Description: partial 16S ribosomal RNA
Rfam family: Bacterial small subunit ribosomal RNA
Source: RNAcentral
UACGAAGGGGGCUAGCGUUGCUCGGAAUCACUGGGCGUAAAGGGUGCGUAGGCGGGUCUUUAAGUCAGGGGUGAAAUCCUGGAGCUCAACUCCAGAACUGCCUUUGAUACUGAAGAUCUUGAGUUCGGGAGAGGUGAGUGGAACUGCGAGUGUAGAGGUGAAAUUCGUAGAUAUUCGCAAGAACACCAGUGGCGAAGGCGGCUCACUGGCCCGAUACUGACGCUGAGGCACGAAAGCGUGGGGAGCAAACCGG